This 253-nucleotide ribosomal RNA is filed under the name uncultured bacterium. Its description in RNAcentral is "partial 16S ribosomal RNA". It matches the Rfam family "Bacterial small subunit ribosomal RNA", at positions 524 to 776 of the family's 1533-position model. The record is from RNAcentral.
UACGUAGGCAGCAAGCGUUGUUCGGAAUCACUGGGCGUAAAGGGCGUGCAGGCGGUCAGGUAAGUGGGAUGUGAAAUGCCCCGGCUCACCCGGGGACCUGCAUCCCAAACUACUUGGCUUGAGUAUGGGAGAGGAUGAGGGAAUUCCUGGUGUAGCGGUGAAAUGCGUAGAUAUCAGGAGGAACACCGGUGGCGAAAGCGCUCAUCUGGCCCAAUACUGACGCUGAGGCGCGAAAGCUAGGGGAGCAAACGGG